Non-coding RNA from Tetranychus urticae (two-spotted spider mite), 614 nucleotides. The record is from RefSeq and is a predicted model, not a curated record. Lineage: Eukaryota; Metazoa; Arthropoda; Arachnida; Trombidiformes; Tetranychidae.
UCGGACAAGCUGUACUGGAAUUGCUCAUAUGAAAAAAUCAUUAAAAGAUCAUUUAUACCUGAUCUUUUUGAUCGUGAUUAUUGUUUAGAUCAUUGACAGGAUUCACAAAUCAAAAUUUCUUCUAAAAUUUUAUUUAGCAUUUUGGGCUACAAUAAGAAAUCGGGCUUUUCUAAAUGCUGGAGAUGUUUAUUGUGUGGACAUAAAUUUUUCAGGAAUUAAACCUGAAGGCAAACCCAAGUCGAACUGGUCGUUAUUUGAGAACUUUAUAUAGUGGAUUUGAGAGGUCAAAAUCUUUGGCGUUGAAUCCAAAAAGGAUUGAUGUUCUGGGCUGAUUCUGGAGAAUCUCUUAAGAUUGCUUUUUCAUCACGAAUGGACGGGACCAAAGUAUCGUUUAUUGUUUCAGAGCGACUUGAUUUAACGUCUAAAUUGGCGAUUGGUAUGCACCAAAUCAUCGAUUGUAUUGGUGUGAUUUACCAAGGAUUGAGCACCGCCAGGUUUACAUUAUUAAGUAAAUCAUCUAUGGUGAUUGAAAUGAUUACAAACAAAAUGCUGAAGGUAUUUUACUUAAAAAUCUUCAUUGAGGACAUGCAAUAAACAUCUGAAUUAAUAAAGAA